CGUAUUAAGCUUGCAGCGCAUAAACCGUAUAAUGAACCAAAGUCUUGGGGUUGAGACGCUUAAUUAUUUGACAUGAUUGGUCAAUUAAAGCAUGUUUAAUAAUUAUUUUGUUUUCAGUCUUUAAUUUCACAUUUUUAUUUGAGAUAUGAAUAAAGUAUGUUGAGAAAACGAGAUAAAAGACAAGGAAAAAAUGAGUGAUGAAAUCAAAAUCUUGAAAGUGAAAAUUAGUUUUUUUUUUUUCCUUUUUUUUUCUUUUCAUUUAGGUCUUUCCUUAUACAUUUCUUCAAUAUUUCUAAUGGUUUUAGGUAUUUUUUUUUUUUUUACCAUUUGUGUGCUUGACCUUAUACAUUUCUUAUACAUCUCUCCUUUUCCCAAAACUUAUUUGACCUUUAGUGUAAUUAGAGUAAUGUUACAUAGACUAAAUUUGCAAACCAAAUGAUGUGUCACCAAUGAGAAAUAAGCACAUCAAUCUACACUUAAAUAAUAAUCUAAUCAUUAACUUCCAUGUCAUUUAGUUUACAAAAUUCAAUUUACAAAUUUAGUCUCCAUAGUAUUACCUAUGUAAUUAAAUUGAAACUAGAUAGGGUGGUGGGUUUUUAUCAAUGUCUGAUGUUCAAAACUCUCGCAUCCCCUAAAUGAUUGUAAUAAUUUAGAAUCAUUACCUCUCCCCUUAAUAAUAAUAAUUAAAACCCUAAUCGAUAUUUGUAACACCCCGGCCCGGAAUAAUUUAUUUUGGAUAAUAAUUUUGAUGAUAGGCCCACUUUAAACUCUUUAUAAUUUUCUAUUCAAGGGUUAAGGUUCUUUGCUUUUAAUUCCUUAAUUCCACAAAUGGUCUAAAUCAUAAUUCUCUCACCAAACAUACCAUAAUUCAAUUAUCUUACCAAUUUAUUCUCUUAGAUCAAGACUCCAACUAAAUAUUAAUUCUCGAUUAUUUAAUUUCACUUAUUUUAUGGUUGCAUCUAACGUCUCAUUAGACUGCCUACGUAUCCUAAACAGGGAUCAAGCCAUUCGUAGUUCACAUUUCUAAAAUUCAAACCAAAACUGAAUAUAUUCAUUUAAAUCCAACAUAUACCACAAUCGUAUUAAUAUUCAACCCACAACAGUUAGAUCUCAAAAGCAUAAUUAGAAAAACAAAAUU
RNAcentral lists this long non-coding RNA (1138 nucleotides) under Malus domestica (apple). RNAcentral describes it as "long non-coding RNA (MDOM_LNC009389)". The record is from RNAcentral. Lineage: Eukaryota; Viridiplantae; Streptophyta; Magnoliopsida; Rosales; Rosaceae.